AUUACUAAGGCAUUGCAGUGUGGCUCUUGUGUCACAGUUGAAUCAGAAGGAGGCAGAGAAGAGAGAGGCACACUCUGUGUUCUCACCUGUGAACAUCUGAAUAAUUAGUAGCCUGGCAUU
Molecule: small nucleolar RNA, 120 nt
Organism: Rattus norvegicus (Norway rat)
Lineage: Eukaryota; Metazoa; Chordata; Mammalia; Rodentia; Muridae
Product: small nucleolar RNA SNORA17
Source: Ensembl